This 520-nucleotide ribosomal RNA is filed under the name uncultured Glomus. Its description in RNAcentral is "SSU rRNA". It matches the Rfam family "Eukaryotic small subunit ribosomal RNA", at positions 569 to 1091 of the family's 1831-position model. Lineage: Eukaryota; Fungi; Glomeromycota; Glomeromycetes; Glomerales; Glomeraceae. The record is from RNAcentral.
AGCAGCCGCGGUAAUUCCAGCUCCAAUAGCGUAUAUUAAAGUUGUUGCAGUUAAAAAGCUCGUAGUUGAAUUUCGGGAUCAAAUUGUCGGUCGUGCCUCGGUACGCACUGGCGUUAUUGGUUCCUCCCUUCUGAAGAACCGCGAUGUCAUUAAUUUGGUGUCGCGGGGAAUCAGGACUGUUACUUUGAAAAAAUUAGAGUGUUUAAAGCAAGCUCGCGCUUGAAUACAUUAGCAUGGAAUAAUGAAAUAGGACGUUUGAUUCUAUUUUGUUGGUUUCUAGGAUCGACGUAAUGAUUAAUAGGGAUAGUUGGGGGCAUUAGUAUUCAAUUGUCAGAGGUGAAAUUCUUGGAUUUAUUGAAGACUAACUACUGCGAAAGCAUUUGCCAAGGAUGUUUUCAUAAUUCAAGAACGAAAGUUAGGGGAUCGAAGACGAUCAGAUACCGUCGUAGUCUUAACCAUAAACUAUGCCGACUAGGGAUCGGAUGAUGUUAAUUUUUUAAUGACUCAUUCGGCGCCUUAC